This is a non-coding RNA of Podarcis lilfordi (Lilford's wall lizard), 73 nucleotides long. Lineage: Eukaryota; Metazoa; Chordata; Lepidosauria; Squamata; Lacertidae. The record is from the annotation of a GenBank genome assembly.
GCUGGGAUAGCUCAGUGGGUACAGCAUGAGGCUCUUCAUCUCAAGAGUCGUGGGUUCGAGUCCCAGUUGGGCA